AGCUGAGAGUUACUCGUGACUGUUGGCGCACGCCAUUUCCUCAAGUGUGCGGUCAGGUUUUGAGCAAUAUUCGCCUCGCGCGCCAUCGGCGCCGAAUAUCCAACAUGUUGAAUAAAAUGGUGCACGAGUGAACAUUGGCUCCAAGUGUGCGCGCGUGCUGAGCUAUUAUCUCAACACGUGAAGAAAAUGCGCAUGCGUUCUUCCCUCAAUCAUGUCAACAUGGCCUCUGGUAGUGUCGUUGUAGCAGGAGCUUUGUUGGAAGAUCAUUUGGCUGACAUUUGGCCAGAUUUUCCCUGUCUUUAUGACGUGCGAUGUCCCGAGUUUAAAAAUCGGGAUUUACGUGAAAAUGCGUACGAAGAAAUCGCUGUAAAACUCGGAAAAACAGUUGAGUGGGUAAAGUCAAAAAUCUGAUCACUGCGAAAUAGUUUCGUAAAGGCGAAAAAACCUCCACCUAGUGGCAGUGCUAGAAAAAAUCCAUCUCGUCGAACCAUUUGGAUAUUAAAGAAGUUACAAUUUCUAGCACCUCAUGUUGCAACACGGACUUCAAUUUCGAAUAUUGACUCUGAAUCCGUUGGCACUCCUCAAGACACAAGUUUCACCCAAGAUGAUGAUGAUGAUUACAACAAUGAUUUAAAUAUUAAUGAAAGUGAAAAUGAAAUGGAAUAUCAUGAAGUGGAUGGUGCAGCAGCAAGGUCUACGAGUCAGCCUAUACGAAGGCCAACUACUUCAAGGAAGAGACAGGCUGAAGAAGAAUUUAAUUUGAUUAAAAGUUUGUCAAAUUCAAUAGCC
Molecule: long non-coding RNA, 789 nt
Organism: Xenia sp. Carnegie-2017
Lineage: Eukaryota; Metazoa; Cnidaria; Anthozoa; Malacalcyonacea; Xeniidae
Exons: 3
Source: RefSeq, a predicted model, not a curated record